RNAcentral lists this ribosomal RNA (253 nucleotides) under uncultured bacterium. RNAcentral's name for it is "partial 16S ribosomal RNA". It matches the Rfam family "Bacterial small subunit ribosomal RNA", at positions 524 to 776 of the family's 1533-position model. The record is from RNAcentral.
UACGGAGGGGGCUAGCGUUGUUCGGAAUUACUGGGCGUAAAGCGCACGUAGGCGGAUCUUUAAGUCAGGGGUGAAAUCCCAAGGCUCAACCUUGGAACUGCCUUUGAUACUGGGGAUCUCGAGUCCGGAAGAGGUGAGUGGAACUGCGAGUGUAGAGGUGAAAUUCGUAGAUAUUCGCAAGAACACCAGUGGCGAAGGCGGCUCACUGGUCCGGUACUGACGCUGAGGUGCGAAAGCGUGGGGAGCAAACAGG